GGGAAGGUGGCUCAGUGGUAGAGCGCUUGCCUUGCAUGCAUGAGGCCCUGGCCCAGAGUUCAGGUCCCA
This 69-nucleotide transfer RNA is filed under the name Dipodomys ordii (Ord's kangaroo rat). It matches the Rfam family "tRNA". From Rfam's summary of the family: Transfer RNA (tRNA) molecules are approximately 80 nucleotides in length. Their secondary structure includes four short double-helical elements and three loops (D, anti-codon, and T loops). The record is from Rfam by way of RNAcentral. Lineage: Eukaryota; Metazoa; Chordata; Mammalia; Rodentia; Heteromyidae.